RNAcentral lists this ribosomal RNA (468 nucleotides) under uncultured bacterium. RNAcentral's name for it is "partial 16S ribosomal RNA". It matches the Rfam family "Bacterial small subunit ribosomal RNA", at positions 28 to 507 of the family's 1533-position model. The record is from RNAcentral.
GACGAACGCUGGCGGCGUGCUUAACACAUGCAAGUCGAACGGAAAGGCCCUGCUUUUGUGGGGUGCUCGAGUGGCGAACGGGUGAGUAACACGUGAGUAACCUGCCCUUGACUUUGGGAUAACUUCAGGAAACUGGGGCUAAUACCGGAUAGGAGCUCCUGCUGCAUGGUGGGGGUUGGAAAGUUUCGGCGGUUGGGGCUGGACUCGCGGCUUAUCAGCUUGUUGGUGGGGUAGUGGCUUACCAAGGCUUUGACGGGUAGCCGGCCUGAGCGGGUGACCGGCCACAUUGGGACUAAGAUACGGCCCAGACUCCUACGGGAGGCAGCAGUGGGGAAUAUUGCACAAUGGGCGGAAGCCUGAUGCAGCAACGCCGCGUGCGGGAUGACGGCCUUCGGGUUGUAAACCGCUUUCGCCUGUGACGAAGCGUGAGUGACGGUAAUGGGUAAAGAAGCACCGGCUAACUACGUG